UACGAAGGGUGCAAACGUUGCUCGGAAUUAUUGGGCGUAAAGCGCACGUAGGCGGCUUAGCAAGUCGGAUGUGAAAUCCCUCGGCUCAACCAAGGAAGUGCAUCCGAAACUGCAGAGCUUGAGUACUUAAGAGGAUCGCGGAAUUCCCGGUGUAGAGGUGAAAUUCGUAGAUAUCGGGAGGAACACCUGUGGCGAAAGCGGCGCACUGGACCACAACUGACGCUGAGGCGCGAAAGCUAGGGGAGCAAACAGG
This 253-nucleotide ribosomal RNA is filed under the name uncultured bacterium. RNAcentral's name for it is "partial 16S ribosomal RNA". It matches the Rfam family "Bacterial small subunit ribosomal RNA", at positions 524 to 776 of the family's 1533-position model. The record is from RNAcentral.